UACGUAGGGUGCAAGCGUUGUCCGGAAUUAUUGGGCGUAAAGAGCUCGUAGGCGGUUCGGCAAGUCGGAUGUGAAAUCUCCACGCUUAACGUGGAGGGGCCAUUCGAAACUGCCGUGACUCGAGUCCGGUAGGGGAGUUCGGAAUUCCCGGUGUAGCGGUGAAAUGCGUAGAGAUCGUAAGGAAGACCAGUGGCGAAGGCGGGUCUCUGGACAGUUCCUGACACUGAGGCACGAAGGCCAGGGGAGCAAACGGG
RNAcentral lists this ribosomal RNA (254 nucleotides) under uncultured bacterium. Its description in RNAcentral is "partial 16S ribosomal RNA". It matches the Rfam family "Bacterial small subunit ribosomal RNA", at positions 524 to 776 of the family's 1533-position model. The record is from RNAcentral.